UUUGAUGCCUUACUUGAUAUUGCUAAUUGAUUGCUGAUUAUUGCUUGAUUCAAAAGUUCAAAGGAAAAGUGGGUUUUCUAUAUGACAUUUUUGUCUGUUGGAUUACAUCCCAUUGAUCAGAUCUUUUCAACUCUUAACUUUUAAUUUUAUGCUUAGGAUUAAUCUCUUCAUCUCCUCCCACUUCUUAAAUUUCAAAAUC
RNAcentral lists this long non-coding RNA (199 nucleotides) under Lathyrus oleraceus (garden pea). RNAcentral describes it as "Pisum sativum (pea) long non-coding RNA (PSAT_LNC024050)". Lineage: Eukaryota; Viridiplantae; Streptophyta; Magnoliopsida; Fabales; Fabaceae. The record is from RNAcentral.